Molecule: ribosomal RNA, 375 nt
Filed under: uncultured eukaryote
Lineage: Eukaryota
Description: SSU rRNA
Rfam family: Eukaryotic small subunit ribosomal RNA
Source: RNAcentral
AGCUCCAAUAGCGUAUAUUAAAGUUGUUGCAGUUAAAAAGCUCGUAGUUGGAUUUGUGGUUUCCUUCGCGGUCCGUACUUUUCGGUACUGUGAGGGAGGCCAUCCUUGGGCGGAGGCUGUGUGGCAUUAGGUUGUCGUGCAGUGGAAGCCCAUCAUUUACUGUGAAAAAAUUAGAGUGUUCAAAGCAGGCUUAUGCCGUUGAAUAUAUUAGCAUGGAAUAAUAAGAUAGGACCUUGGUACUAUUUUGUUGGUUUGCGCACCGAGGUAAUGAUUAAUAGGGACAGUUGGGGGUAUUCGUAUUCCAUUGUCAGAGGUGAAAUUCUUGGAUUUUUGGAAGACGAACUACUGCGAAAGCAUUUACCAAGGAUGUUUUCA